GAUGAACGCUGGCGGCGUGCCUAAUACGUGCAAGUCGAGCGAACAGACGAGGAGCUUGCUCCUCUGACGUUAGCGGCGGACGGGUGAGUAACACGUGGAUAACCUACCUAUAAGACUGGGAUAACUUCGGGGAACCGGAGCUAAUACCGGAUAAUAUAUUGAACCGCAUGGUUCAAUAGUGAAAGACGGUUUUGCUGUCACUUAUAGAUGGAUCCGCGCCGCAUUAGCUAGUUGGUAAGGUAACGGCUUACCAAGGCAACGAUGCGUAGCCGACCUGAGAGGGUGAUCGGCCACACUGGAACUGAGACACGGUCCAGACUCCUACGGGAGGCAGCAGUAGGGAAUCUUCCGCAAUGGGCGAAAGCUUGACGGAGCAACGCCGCGUGAGUGAUGAAGGUCUUCGGAUCGUAAAACUCUGCUAUUAGGGAAGAACAAAUGUGUAAGUAACUAUGCACGUCUUGACGGUACCUAAUCAGAAAGCCACGGCUAACUACGUG
RNAcentral lists this ribosomal RNA (497 nucleotides) under uncultured bacterium. RNAcentral's name for it is "partial 16S ribosomal RNA". It matches the Rfam family "Bacterial small subunit ribosomal RNA", at positions 28 to 507 of the family's 1533-position model. The record is from RNAcentral.